UACGUAGGGGGCGAGCGUUGUCCGGAUUUAUUGGGUGUAAAACGCUUGUAGGUGGCUACGUCAAGUCGGACGUGAAAUCUCCCGGCUUAACUGGGAGGGGUCGCUCGAUACUGGCGAGCUCGAGGCAGGUAGGGGGAAGCGGAAUUCCCGGUGUAGUGGUGGAAUGCGUAGAUAUCGGGAGGAACACCAGUGGCGAAGGCGGCUUCCUGGACCUGUUCUGACACUGAGGAGCGAAAGCGUGGGGACCGAUCCGG
This 254-nucleotide ribosomal RNA is filed under the name uncultured bacterium. RNAcentral's name for it is "partial 16S ribosomal RNA". It matches the Rfam family "Bacterial small subunit ribosomal RNA", at positions 524 to 776 of the family's 1533-position model. The record is from RNAcentral.